Vombatus ursinus (common wombat) is the source of this 570-nucleotide non-coding RNA. Lineage: Eukaryota; Metazoa; Chordata; Mammalia; Diprotodontia; Vombatidae. The record is from the annotation of a RefSeq genome assembly.
AACAGCAUCUCCAGCAUGGCCUUGACGGCUCUCCUCAUGGCGUUGCUUGCUCUUAGCCAAGGGGCCAGUUCUCAGGCAGUGGUGACCCAGGAGCCGUCUCUGAGUGUGAUCCCUGGAGGGACAGUCACCCUGACCUGCAGCUCCGGCACAGGGGCCGUCACCUCUGGGCACUAUCCCUACUGGUUCCAGCAGAAAUCUGGCCAAGUUCCCAGGUUACUCAUCUAUAAUACCAACAUUCUUGUAUCAGGGGUCCCUGCCCGGUUCUCAGGGUCCCUCCUUGGGGACAAAGCCGCCCUCACCAUCAAGGGGGCCCAGCCUGAGGACGAAGCUGACUACUACUGUGUCCUGUGGUACAGCAGUGCAACUCAAGUGGCCAGACCUCUAACCAGUGGGGCAAGUCAUCCCUCAGCAACGGAACUGCACAAGGAGCUGCAAAGAGAAAAAAAACAGACUCUGAAGGAGAAGGGGGUGGUGUCUCUCUUCGACGUUGCUGGCAAGAUUCCUACCAGAGUCCUCCUCGAUAGGCUGGUCCUUUACCUGGAAGAUGGCCAUCUACCUGAGAGCCAGUGA